Long non-coding RNA from Xyrauchen texanus (razorback sucker), 441 nucleotides. RefSeq lists it as uncharacterized. The record is from RefSeq and is a predicted model, not a curated record. NCBI's taxonomy places the organism in Eukaryota, Metazoa, Chordata, Actinopteri, Cypriniformes, Catostomidae. The transcript is spliced from 3 exons.
UAGGUGUACCAUGGUGAUUCAGGAUACUGAAUCCAGUACUCACCGAUAUGGUUUCGGAAUCGGAACAACUCUAGGUAAAAGGAAAGAAGUGUGAGACACAGCUUUGGAGCAACUUAGUUGAUUCACAACGCUACAUAAGAGGUUCUCCCUCUGCGUGUUUCGCGCUGGAUGACGGUCGUGCUGAGCGGUGCAGAAAACUACAAAGAAGUAGUCCAGAAGCGUGUUGCUUACCUCAAGUGGGGGAUAUAUGGUCUUCCUUCGGUCAGUCUGGCCAGGAGAAGGGGGUGCUGAAGCAAGGAAUGACCUCUGGUUCACAGAUGGCCAAGAUGGGCGAACAGCUCAACAGGGACCUCAAACGGCAACCUACAAGACAACAAAGUUCUACUCCUGCUAGAUAUCAGUCUGAUUCCGACGACACAUGUUGUGAUAUUUUUGAUCCAC